AAAAUGAUAAAAUUGUUCACUUAUAUAAAUCUGGCAAUAUGGGCUGGAUGUUUCUACCGAACUACCUAAAAUAGUUGUAGGCUAUAAGUGCUUUAUGCACUAUA
This 104-nucleotide non-coding RNA is filed under the name Clostridium magnum. Its description in RNAcentral is "Guanine sequence". It matches the Rfam family "Purine riboswitch aptamer". Rfam says of the family: Riboswitches are metabolite binding domains within certain messenger RNAs that serve as precision sensors for their corresponding targets. RNAcentral also lists the same sequence under 1 other name. Lineage: Bacteria; Bacillati; Bacillota; Clostridia; Eubacteriales; Clostridiaceae. The record is from RNAcentral.